This 68-nucleotide transfer RNA is filed under the name Astenus lyonessius. Its description in RNAcentral is "tRNA-Asp". The record is from RNAcentral. Lineage: Eukaryota; Metazoa; Arthropoda; Insecta; Coleoptera; Staphylinidae.
AAGAAUUUAGUUAAGUUAUAACAUUAGUUUGUCAUACUAAAAUAAUUAAUUUUUAUUAGUAAUUCUUA